Molecule: non-coding RNA, 109 nt
Filed under: Acinetobacter sp.
Lineage: Bacteria; Pseudomonadati; Pseudomonadota; Gammaproteobacteria; Moraxellales; Moraxellaceae
Also listed under: 1 other name
Description: Glycine sequence
Rfam family: Glycine riboswitch aptamer
About the family: This family represents the bacterial glycine riboswitch. Glycine riboswitches usually consist of two metabolite-binding aptamers domains with similar structures in tandem.
Source: RNAcentral
AUAAUCUGGAGAGAAGUAUUUCAAAAAUACUCACCGAAGGGGAUGGUACGUAGAUUUAUGGAAAUCUAUAGCUACCGAAGCUCUCAGGUACCCUGACAGAUGGGGCAAC